RNAcentral lists this small RNA (83 nucleotides) under Pseudomonas sp. OF001. RNAcentral's name for it is "P31". It matches the Rfam family "Pseudomonas sRNA P31". The record is from RNAcentral. Lineage: Bacteria; Pseudomonadati; Pseudomonadota; Gammaproteobacteria; Pseudomonadales; Pseudomonadaceae.
AGAAGACCUCCCGUAGAUUGAAGCGGUUCAUGCAAAUUCAGGUUGCAAAAAAGCGGAAUGACGUGAGAACCACAUCACCCCGC